Molecule: ribosomal RNA, 496 nt
Filed under: uncultured bacterium
Lineage: Bacteria
Description: partial 16S ribosomal RNA
Rfam family: Bacterial small subunit ribosomal RNA
Source: RNAcentral
GAUGAACGCUGGCGGCGUGCCUAAUACAUGCAAGUCGAGCGAACAGACGAGGAGCUUGCUCCUCUGACGUUAGCGGCGGACGGGUGAGUAACACGUGGAUAACCUACCUAUAAGACUGGGAUAACUUCGGGAAACCGGAGCUAAUACCGGAUAACAUGUUGAACCGCAUGGUUCAACAGUGAAAGACGGUCUUGCUGUCGCUUAUAGAUGGAUCCGCGCCGCAUUAGCUAGUUGGUAAGGUAACGGCUUACCAAGGCAACGAUGCGUAGCCGACCUGAGAGGGUGAUCGGCCACACUGGAACUGAGACACGGUCCAGACUCCUACGGGAGGCAGCAGUAGGGAAUCUUCCGCAAUGGGCGAAAGCCUGACGGAGCAACGCCGCGUGAGUGAAGAAGGUCUUCGGAUCGUAAAACUCUGUUAUUAGGGAAGAACAAAUGUGUAAGUAACUAUGCACGUCUUGACGGUACCUAAUCAGAAAGCCACGGCUAACUACGU